CCUACGGAGGACAGCAGUCGAGAAUCAUUCACAAUGGGGAAACCCUGAUGGUGCGACGCCGCGUGGGGGAAUGACGGUCUUCGGAUUGUAAACCCCUGUCAUGUGGGAGCAAAUUAAAAAUAUAGUACCACAAGAGGAAGAGACGGCUAACUCUGUGCCAGCCGCUGCGGUAAUACAGAGGUCUCAAGCGUUGUUCGGAAUCACUGGGCGUAAGGCGUGCGUAGGCUGUUUCGUAAGUCGUGUGUGAAAGGCGCGGGCUCAACCCGCGGACGGCACAUGAUACUGCGAGACUAGAGUAAUGGAGGGGGAAACGGAAUACUCGGUGUAGCAGUGAAAUGCGUAGAUAUCGAGAGGAACACUCGUGGUGAAGGCGGGUUCCUGGACAUUAACUGACGCUGAGGCACGAAGGCCAGGGGAGCGAAAGGGAUUAGAUACCCGGGUAGUC
This 445-nucleotide ribosomal RNA is filed under the name uncultured bacterium. RNAcentral describes it as "partial 16S ribosomal RNA". It matches the Rfam family "Bacterial small subunit ribosomal RNA", at positions 338 to 795 of the family's 1533-position model. The record is from RNAcentral.